This 253-nucleotide ribosomal RNA is filed under the name uncultured bacterium. Its description in RNAcentral is "partial 16S ribosomal RNA". It matches the Rfam family "Bacterial small subunit ribosomal RNA", at positions 524 to 776 of the family's 1533-position model. The record is from RNAcentral.
UACAGAGGGUGCAAGCGUUGUUCGGAAUUAUUGGGCGUAAAGGGCGCGUAGGCGGUGCUGUAAGUCUGUAGUGAAAUCUCUGGGCUCAACUCAGAGUCUGCUAUAGAAACUGCAGUGCUGGAGUGUGGGAGAGGUGAGUGGAAUUCCCGGUGUAGCGGUGAAAUGCGUAGAUAUCGGAAGGAACACCAGUGGCGAAAGCGGCUUCCUGGUCCAGCACCGACGUUCAGGCACGAAAGCGUGGGGAGCAAACAGG